GAACUGCGAUAAGUAAUGUGAAUUGCAGAAUUCAGUGAAUCAUCGAGUCUUUGAACGCACAUUGCGCCCCCUGGCAUUCCGGGGGGCAUGCCUGUCCGAGCGUCAUUGCUGCCCUCAAGCCCGGCUUGUGUGUUGGGUCGUCGUCCCCCCCGGGGGACGGGCCCGAAAGGCGGCGGCGGCACCGUGUCCGGUCCUCGAGCGUAUGGGGCUUUGUCACCCGCUCGAUUAGGGCCGGCCGGGCGCCAGCCGGCGUCUCCAACCUUAUUUUUCUCAGGUUGACCUCGGAUCAGGUAGGGAUACCCGCUGAACUUAAGC
This 315-nucleotide unclassified non-coding RNA is filed under the name plant metagenome. RNAcentral describes it as "partial contains 5.8S ribosomal RNA, internal transcribed spacer 2, and large subunit ribosomal RNA". The stretch from base 1 to 105 matches the Rfam family "5.8S ribosomal RNA", at positions 50 to 154 of the family's 154-position model. The record is from RNAcentral.